This is a long non-coding RNA of Mugil cephalus (flathead mullet), 399 nucleotides long. RefSeq lists it as uncharacterized. The record is from RefSeq and is a predicted model, not a curated record. The transcript has 3 exons. Lineage: Eukaryota; Metazoa; Chordata; Actinopteri; Mugiliformes; Mugilidae.
AAUGUGAGCGCGUGCGAAAGUGAGAGACGGCGAGGCAGAGACGGGCCCAGACAGAAGGAGAAAGGAACGAAGGCGGAGUAAUAUGAUCGAGAGAGAGGAGAAACGGAGUAAUGGGACGAAAUGGGGACGGCGCGAGAAAAAAAAUAUGUGUCACAGUCCUACUACUUCCAGACUGCCCUGUACAGCAAGCAAGCGAGGAAACGAAAAGCCACAGCAGCUCUAAUGCCAAAUGGACAAUUCCCAUCACAGUUUGAAUCUAACAACUUCUCAUCUGCUUCUGAAGAGUGGACACCAAUGUGAGCAGUCUGGACCCGUCACUUACAGUGAUGUGUGCUGCUGUGACCGAUGAAGAACCAUAACUAUUCUCAUAGUGUGCAGAUUUUAAAAGGGAAUAAAGAA